This is a long non-coding RNA of Ictidomys tridecemlineatus (thirteen-lined ground squirrel), 1940 nucleotides long. Lineage: Eukaryota; Metazoa; Chordata; Mammalia; Rodentia; Sciuridae. The record is from Ensembl.
AUAUUGUUAAAUCAGGCAUCCAGGUCAAGCAGAAAGACCGAACUAUGAACCUUCAAGAUAUCCGGUAUAUUCUGAAGAAUGACUUAAAGGAAUUUAUUGGAGCCCAAAGAACUCAGCUAACUAAGAGCCCCAGGGCACAGAGAUAUGAACCCCAUCCUGAUGUCAGUGUCUAUCUAGGAUUGACUUCAGAACAUGCAAAAGCAACCUCAGACUUGGAAAUCAAAGAGCUAAAGGAAACAGGUAGUCAGCCACAUUCACCAAGGGGUCACUUUUCUCCCACCGCAAAGGUAACAUUAGCUCCUCAGAUCCCUGAUUCAAGUCUGAUGGCCCAGGAAUCUCAGAAUCCAGGUACUCCUUUUCCAGCUCCUCCAUUUAUGGCAGAAGAGAUCCACAACCCCCGAACAAGUCAGGAAAGCCUCUGUAGCUUCGAAAUCAAUGAGAUCUACUCAGGCUGUUUACAUUUGGGGGAUAACAGAGAGGAGGAGCACCCAGGAACUGCUUCAUCUCUUGAGGGGUAUAGACCAAACCUGGUAGAUGAACUGCAGUCUGUGGAAGAAGAGUUAGAGAAGAUGGAGAGAGAGGCUUACUUUUGUGAUGAAGAUGAGAGCUCUUCAGAAGUUGACACAGAGCUCUCCUUUGGGUACUGGCAAAAUGGUUCACUUGCUUCACUCAGCCUACCUGAGCCAACCAGAGAAGCCAAGGGCAAAGUGAGCAGCAGGUCCAUGACUGAGGAGUACAUCAGUAAGUGUGUGCUGAAUCUGAAGAUUUCACAGACAUUAAUGCACCAGAAUGCUGAUUUGCUGAGGAACACUCAGCAGAAAAUAGAUGAACUUGAGUUGUUAGAGAAUGAGCAGGAAACAUGCAGGUCUUUAUGGGCUACUUCAAGAGAGUUUUCAGACACCCAUGACUCACCUUCAGCCCUGGGCCCCCCAGCUUUGAGUUAUAUUCCUCCUGUCAUGCAGCUCUCAUGGAGUCCCAAGUCAGACACCAGUGGCAAUUGCCCAACCCUGGCAAGGUCUCCAAGAACAGUGAAAGGCUUUGAAGGGGGACAUUUGGGCAAAAAACCCAAGAAAAGAAGUGACUGUGGCUGGCAGUCUUUCACCCAAGUAUCUGAAGAAAGCACUAGGGAACAGCCAGAGACCAGCCAACAGCUGCCAACUGUUUGUGGCCCUGGAAGACAGAACACAGAUGAGCAAUCUCAGACCACUCAAGGAGCCAAGGACAGUUUGGAAAGAAGCAGGAACCAAAAUAGUAGGACCAGUGUAGAAGGUGUGUCUUCUGAAAUCUGUAAUACAAAGUCAAGAAAUAAUGAAGAUGAUGGAGAGAUACACAUAAAAUGGAAAAUGGAAGUGAAAGAAAUGGCAGAGAAAGCAGCUACUGGGCAGCUCACAGUACCUCCUUGGCAUCCUCAAAGUAGUUUGACUUUAAACAGUGAAGCUGAAAAUCAGCCUGCUCCUUUGAUGCAGCCCCCUGUUAAGGGCUCUCAAAACAUGGACUGGAAGCAAGUUGUAGUGUAUCACAGAGAAAAUGGUGAGCCAGGAGGAAAUGUCAAAUUUGAAAAAAUGGACAGUAGUGGCUGUGACAGUGACAAGCACAGCAAACAGCCUGAGCCUCAAAGAUUCACCAGUAUCAGGCACCUGUCUCCCAGAAAAAAUGAGCAGCCAGAGCAUAGUGAAUCCUUUCAAGCAAGUUCUGAUGCAUCUGUGGCAGUUGAGAAAUCCUACAGUGACCAAUCUGUACAAUCAACUUGUUCACCAGAAUCUUCUGAAGACAUAACAGAUGAAUUUUUAACUCCAGAAUAUGAGUAUUUUUACUCCUCUACUGUUCAAGAAAACUUAGCUCUAGAGACCUCAAGUCCCAUAGAAAAGGACUUUGAAGAAAUACAAGGUGCCUUUGCCCAACCUCCAGUCUGUGGUAAGCCCUAGGACAGAUUCAUUUGA